RNAcentral lists this long non-coding RNA (1420 nucleotides) under Homo sapiens (human). RNAcentral describes it as "HSALNT0083084". Lineage: Eukaryota; Metazoa; Chordata; Mammalia; Primates; Hominidae. The record is from RNAcentral.
GAGGACUGUCACCCCCUUCCUCCUAUUCAAUUUCUGCAUGAAGUCUCUAAAUCAAUAACAGAGAAGGGGAGAGGAAAAAGGAAAGAAAAACUCCCACCUAAUGGCCAUUUUCAGAGCAGCCGCAGAACCAUGUGACACAGCUGACCGAGGCAGCAUUGCAGAUACAUUUGUGUGCCUGCAGAUCUCAGGUACACGAUACAGGAAACAGACCCAUCCAAAGCCGUUUGGGGUUUUAUCAAGGGGUCAUUUAAGAUGCAGAGCAACUUGAAAUCGCCCAUCUGUUGGAGAGCCGUGCGUGCUGACAGAGGCUCUAGAAUUGGGCGCCACUCUGUGCCAGGCGGCUGGGGCUAGACCCCGCUCCCCGGCUGAUGCUGUCCUGCCCCAGGGAUGCCUGGCCAGGCUCUUGCUGUGUCCACCACGCUCCAUCCACACCCCUCCAUCACAUUUCACCAGGGGCCCGGGCCAGAGACGCAUCCGACAUCCCAUCUGGGAACAACGGCCUCAAAGAAUGGGGAGCAGCGAGGGCCGCCAGACACUGAGUCCUUCUGGAUCUUUCUGGCCAGGCUCCUUCCCUGGCAUCUGGGCUCGGUGGGGGUGGUCUGCCCCCUCAUUCCCGCAGACCCUGGCCCCUGGCAGGGCCCCCAGUCUCCACCUGCCCUGUCUGUUUCCUCCCCAGUGUAACUAUGCUGUAGAAAUAUAUUUUGGCCACACCCUGCAUGAAGGUUCCAGUCUCUGUGUCUGUGGGAAGGGCUAAUCUGCGGCAAGAAGUGGUCCCUGGGAUGGAAAGAUCCUGACACAACGGAGUCCCAGGUGAGUCUGUGCGGCCGACAGCAUGCGGCAGAGUGCAGAUGGGUCACUUCCGAAACUGGGCUGGACAUGCCAGGUCUCCCUCCUGGUUGCUCUGUCUCCUGGGUCACGGGCUUGGGUGAAGCCAGCAGCCAUGCCGUGGGAACUCAGGCGACGCGAGAACAGAGCGAUCUCCCGAGGUGCACGGGACUCCAGACAACAGCCCGCAAGGACCAAAGCCUGCCAGCAGCUGUGCAGGACCCUCGAAAAGUCUCCUGGGGCCAAUAGAGCCCUCACACGGCAGCAGACUCUGGGGGCCUUGGGAGGAGUGGCUGCAUUUUGCUGGGAGAAUCACAGAAUCUCUGGGGCCUGAGGGCCCGGGACGGCCCAGAGACAAGGAGGUACUCAAAGCUGUGUGUCGUCCUCCCAUGCCGGGCCAGGUGUGUCCAUGUGACCAGAGCACAAGUGGAUGCCACUCCUGAGUCCAGGGCCUGAAGGACCCUGUGGCUUCCCUCUGGGUCACUCUGUCUGCCUUGGGUCACUCGUCCUGAAGGAAGCCAGCCACUGCGUGCGGGGCCCUGCGUGGAGAGGCCCUCAUGGUGAGGAGACGUCCGGCCCACAGCCACGAGGAGCC